RNAcentral lists this long non-coding RNA (822 nucleotides) under Anas platyrhynchos platyrhynchos (common mallard). Its description in RNAcentral is "lncRNA (ENSAPLG00000020094.1)". Lineage: Eukaryota; Metazoa; Chordata; Aves; Anseriformes; Anatidae. The record is from RNAcentral.
UGUUAGCAAUAUAGAGCAGUAUUGGAAAACACUUUAAAAUGACUGUAUCCAAGAACUGGAGUGAGUUGCCUUACAGUAGGUUGUCAUGCUGUUUCUUUUUCUUCUUCUUUUUUUUUUUUUUUUUCAACCGCCAUCUGUGCUCCAGCAUUUAGGCUUUUAUUAAAGCAAAAAUCAGCUGUAAGGUUUUGGUCUCUUUCACAUUAAAUUCAGAGUUUAAUAUUCAAAAUUGUUCCCUCAGAACAACUGAGAACUUGAUCAUAUUGUUUCAAAGAAAAACUUAAAUUCCAUCCUCUUCUUUUCCAGAUUGCACGUGAUCCUCAUCAGUUUAAAAUGUAAGCAGUUCUAGAACUACAUGGAGUCAUCUGGAGGCAAAACCAGAAACCAAAUACAAAAUGUUGUAAUGAAGCUUAUUUGCUCUUCUGCAAGCUUACAAAUGCAUGCCUGAGAGGUCAGGAUUGCUCCAUUAAUCUUAACAGUACCAACUUAAACAACUAAUGACAGUAACUGAACUGUAAAUAUUAUUAACCAUUUCAUCUUUGAUCAAAUCAUAUGACGUUAGAUGUACAGAGAUUGACAUGAGUUUCCCAGUGCAGUAAAUAAUGAGGCAGUGCUGAUAAGAAGAAAAGGAGAACUUUGGGAACCGAGAAGCCAGUGACUUGACCUGGUGGUGGUGUAUUUCAUGCUUUUUCCAGGUAGAUUCCUUAGAAAUCUGUGUACCUGCUUUAUGGCCAGCCAAGGAUCACCGUCAGUAAGAAGACUAUCCCUAUUUAGAUCAACUGGCAAACAUAAAACCCAUCUGUGUGUUGCUUAACAGGUGCCAUU